UCUUUGGUGACGUCUUGUCGGAACGGGCGAGAUCAUCGGGUUCGCUGCCCUGUGCCCACAAAGUCAACCGCUUCGCCCACGCAUCUAGCUCCUUGGGCGGGUAGGCGGUCUUGACCGUAUCCUUGCCGGUCUGGAGACGGACGUAAACGAAAUCGGAGGUUAUGUCGGCGAUCGCCGGAUACUUCCCAUGGUCGGCGUAAACCACCGCGAUAUUGUGCUUCCGCAGCAGCGCGAU
RNAcentral lists this unclassified non-coding RNA (235 nucleotides) under Hevea brasiliensis (rubber tree). Lineage: Eukaryota; Viridiplantae; Streptophyta; Magnoliopsida; Malpighiales; Euphorbiaceae. The record is from RNAcentral.